This 1451-nucleotide ribosomal RNA is filed under the name uncultured organism. Its description in RNAcentral is "SSU rRNA". It matches the Rfam family "Bacterial small subunit ribosomal RNA". The record is from RNAcentral.
UUAUUGAACGCUGGCGGCAGGCCUAACACAUGCAAGUCGAACGGUAACAGAAAGCAGCUUGCUGCUUUGCUGACGAGUGGCGGACGGGUGAGUAAUGUCUGGGAAACUGCCUGAUGGAGGGGGAUAACUACUGGAAACGGUAGCUAAUACCGCAUAACGUCGCAAGACCAAAGAGGGGGACCUUCGGGCCUCUUGCCAUCGGAUGUGCCCAGAUGGGAUUAGCUAGUAGGUGGGGUAACGGCUCACCUAGGCGACGAUCCCUAGCUGGUCUGAGAGGAUGACCAGCCACACUGGAACUGAGACACGGUCCAGACUCCUACGGGAGGCAGCAGUGGGGAAUAUUGCACAAUGGGCGCAAGCCUGAUGCAGCCAUGCCGCGUGUAUGAAGAAGGCCUUCGGGUUGUAAAGUACUUUCAGCGGGGAGGAAGGGAGUAAAGUUAAUACCUUUGCUCAUUGACGUUACCCGCAGAAGAAGCACCGGCUAACUCCGUGCCAGCAGCCGCGGUAAUACGGAGGGUGCAAGCGUUAAUCGGAAUUACUGGGCGUAAAGCGCACGCAGGCGGUUUGUUAAGUCAGAUGUGAAAUCCCCGGGCUCAACCUGGGAACUGCAUCUGAUACUGGCAAGCUUGAGUCUCGUAGAGGGGGGUAGAAUUCCAGGUGUAGCGGUGAAAUGCGUAGAGAUCUGGAGGAAUACCGGUGGCGAAGGCGGCCCCCUGGACGAAGACUGACGCUCAGGUGCGAAAGCGCGGGGGAGCAAACAGGAUUAGAUACCCUGGUAGUUCACGCCGUAAACGAUGUCGACUUGGAGGUUGUGCCCUUGAGGCGUGGCUUCCGGAGCUAACGCGUUAAGUCGACCGCCUGGGGAGUACGGCCGCAAGGUUAAAACUCAAAUGAAUUGACGGGGGCCCGCACAAGCGGUGGAGCAUGUGGUUUAAUUCGAUGCAACGCGAAGAACCUUACCUGGUCUUGACAUCCACGGAAGUUUUCAGAGAUGAGAAUGUGCCUUCGGGAACCGUGAGACAGGUGCUGCAUGGCUGUCGUCAGCUCGUGUUGUGAAAUGUUGGGUUAAGUCCCGCAACGAGCGCAACCCUUAUCCUUUGUUGCCAGCGGUCCGGCCGGGAACUCAAAGGAGACUGCCAGUGAUAAACUGGAGGAAGGUGGGGAUGACGUCAAGUCAUCAUGGCCCUUACGACCAGGGCUACACACGUGCUACAAUGGCGCAUACAAAGAGAAGCGACCUCGCGAGAGCAAGCGGACCUCAUAAAGUGCGUCGUAGUCCGGAUUGGAGUCUGCAACUCGACUCCAUGAAGUCGGAAUCGCUAGUAAUCGUGGAUCAGAAUGCCACGGUGAAUACGUUCCCGGGCCUUGUACACACCGCCCGUCACACCAUGGGAGUGGGUUGCAAAAGAAGUAGGUAGCUUAACCUUCGGGAGGGCGCUUACCACUUUGUG